GAGUUUGAUCCUGGCUCAGAAUGAACGCUGGCGGCAGGCCUAACACAUGCAAGUCGAACGGCACCUUCGGGUGUAGUGGCGGACGGGUGAGUAACACGUGGGAACGUACCUUUUGCUUCGGAAUAGCCUCGGGAAACUGGGAGUAAUACCGGAUGUGCUCUUCGGAGGAAAGAUUUAUCGGCAAAAGAUCGGCCCGCGUUGGAUUAGCUUGUUGGUGAGGUAAUGGCUCACCAAGGCGACGAUCCAUAGCUGGUUUGAGAGGAUGACCAGCCACACUGGGACUGAGACACGGCCCAGACUCCUACGGGAGGCAGCAGUGGGGAAUCUUAGACAAUGGGCGCAAGCCUGAUCUAGCCAUGCCGCGUGAGCGAUGAAGGCCUUAGGGUUGUAAAGCUCUUUCGCUGGGGAAGAUAAUGACUGUACCCAGUAAAGAAGCCCCGGCUAACUCCGUG
Molecule: ribosomal RNA, 452 nt
Filed under: uncultured Paracoccaceae bacterium
Lineage: Bacteria; Pseudomonadati; Pseudomonadota; Alphaproteobacteria; Rhodobacterales; Paracoccaceae
Description: bacterial SSU rRNA
Rfam family: Bacterial small subunit ribosomal RNA
Source: RNAcentral